CUUUUAUAAAGCAUAAGCAUGUCAGAGGAGCAUAAGGCGGCAUAGAAGCAUAGAUGGUCUUGACUUUCAAUCAUGUAUAAACUUAUGACAGAGAUGUGCGGGCUCCUUUUCACUCCCACAAAGUUACAAACCAGAGAAUCCGGCCCCAAAAUGACCAAGCGCGCCUAUGUGAACCAGAUCUCCCUAUUUUGUAAUUCUAGAGUAAUUAGGGUCUGUUUGGAUAUCGUAUAGGGUUGGGUUGAAAAUCCUAUAGGAAUCGAGCCUGUUGGCCUAUCCAGGUUGCAUUUUCUAAUAGUCUGUUCCAUAUCCAGCUCAGAUCUUAGUUUUUGUGCUGCAAGAAGAAAAAGCUUAUGGAGGUUUUUUUUUCUUCUCACAGGAUUUGGAUUGUGUAGUGUUUGGUUGAUAUAAGAUCAUGCUUAGGGUUGUAUAAUGCUUGGUUAAUACAAGGUCAUGCUUAGGAUCUGUUUGGAUAUUUCUGUAUGAUUGGGCUGAAAAUUCUAUAGGAAUCGGAUCGAUUGGUCCAUCUAGCUUAGAUUUUCUAAGUGCCUAUCCACACUCAGCCCAGAUACUAGCUUUGAGCUGCAGGAAGGAAAAAUAUCUAUGGUAGUUUUUUUUUUUUUCCAUACGAUUUGGGUUGGGUGGAGUUUAGUUGAUACAGGACUAUGCUUAAAUGGACAGUCCAAUUCAUGAAUUCUACAGAAUUUUUAG
Molecule: long non-coding RNA, 708 nt
Filed under: Phoenix dactylifera (date palm)
Lineage: Eukaryota; Viridiplantae; Streptophyta; Magnoliopsida; Arecales; Arecaceae
Description: long non-coding RNA (PDAC_LNC019176)
Source: RNAcentral